GGCACUGAACCACCGCGAGGUGCUCAUAUGCGAAAAGACAACUAAGAGGUUUGCCUUGAAGCAGCCACCCUUUAAAAAGUGCUUAAUAGCUCACUGAUCGAGCGGUCUUGUGCUGAAGAUGAACGGGGCUAAGCGAUCUGCCGAA
RNAcentral lists this non-coding RNA (145 nucleotides) under Triticum aestivum (bread wheat). RNAcentral's name for it is "Bacterial large subunit ribosomal RNA". It matches the Rfam family "Bacterial large subunit ribosomal RNA", at positions 1043 to 1198 of the family's 2925-position model. The record is from Rfam by way of RNAcentral. Lineage: Eukaryota; Viridiplantae; Streptophyta; Magnoliopsida; Poales; Poaceae.